This 772-nucleotide ribosomal RNA is filed under the name uncultured Vagococcus sp. RNAcentral describes it as "bacterial SSU rRNA". It matches the Rfam family "Bacterial small subunit ribosomal RNA", at positions 28 to 776 of the family's 1533-position model. Lineage: Bacteria; Bacillati; Bacillota; Bacilli; Lactobacillales; Enterococcaceae. The record is from RNAcentral.
GACGAACGCGGGCGGGCGUGCCUAAUACAUGCAAGUCGAACGCACGAAGUUGAAGAGCUUGCUCUUUAACCAAGUGAGUGGCGGACGGGUGAGUAACACGUGGGUAACCUGCCCAUUAGAGGGGGAUAACAUUCGGAAACGGAUGCUAAUACCGCAUAGUUUCAGGAAUCGCAUGAUUCUUGAAGGAAAGGUGGCUUCGGCUACCACUAAUGGAUGGACCCGCGGCGUAUUAGCUAGUUGGUGAGGUAAUGGCUCACCAAGGCAAUGAUACGUAGCCGACCUGAGAGGGUGAUCGGCCACACUGGGACUGAGACACGGCCCAGACUCCUACGGGAGGCAGCAGUAGGGAAUCUUCCGCAAUGGACGAAAGUCUGACGGAGCAACGCCGCGUGAGUGAAGAAGGUUUUCGGAUCGUAAAACUCUGUUGUUAAAGAAGAACAAGGAUGAGAGUAACUGCUCAUCCCCUGACGGUAUUUAACCAGAAAGCCACGGCUAACUACGUGCCAGCAGCCGCGGUAAUACGUAGGUGGCAAGCGUUGUCCGGAUUUAUUGGGCGUAAAGCGAGCGCAGGCGGUUCUUUAAGUCUGAUGUGAAAGCCCCCGGCUCAACCGGGGAGGGUCAUUGGAAACUGGAGAACUUGAGUGCAGAAGAGGAGAGUGGAAUUCCACGUGUAGCGGUGAAAUGCGUAGAUAUGUGGAGGAACACCAGUGGCGAAGGCGACUCUCUGGUCUGUAACUGACGCUGAGGCUCGAAAGCGUGGGGAGCAAACAGG